This 619-nucleotide ribosomal RNA is filed under the name Ochthebius montesi. RNAcentral describes it as "partial 16S ribosomal RNA". It matches the Rfam family "Bacterial large subunit ribosomal RNA", at positions 1819 to 2728 of the family's 2925-position model. Lineage: Eukaryota; Metazoa; Arthropoda; Insecta; Coleoptera; Hydraenidae. The record is from RNAcentral.
GUCUUUUUGAUAAUAAUUUAAAGUCUAACCUGCCCAAUGAUUAUUAUUAAAUGGCCGCGGUAUUUUGACCGUGCAAAGGUAGCAUAAUCAUUAGUUUUUUAAUUGAAAGCUGGAAUGAAUGGUUGAACGAGAAAAUUACUGUCUCAAUUUAAUUUAAUUAGAAUUUUAUUUUUAAGUUAAAAAGCUUAAAUUUAUUUAAAAGACGAGAAGACCCUAUAGAGUUUUAUAUUUUUAUGAGUAUUAUUUUUAUAAUUUUAAAUUAUUUAUUUUAAUAUUUUAUUGGGGUGAUAAAUAAAUUUAAUUAACUUUAUUUUUUUUUUUACAUAAAUUUAUGAUUAAAUGAUCCAUUUUUUAUGAUUAUAAGAUUAAAUUACCUUAGGGAUAACAGCGUUAUCUUUUUAGAGAGUUCAAAUCGAAAAAAAGGAUUGCGACCUCGAUGUUGGAUUAAAAUUAAUUUUUGGUGUAGAAGCUAAAAGUAUUAAGUCUGUUCGACUUUUAAAAUUUUACAUGAUCUGAGUUUAAACCGGUGUGAGCCAGGUUGGUUUCUAUCUUUAAAAAUAUUAAAUGUUUUAGUACGAAAGGACCAAAUAUUUGUAAUAAUUAUUAUUUAAUUGAAUAU